RNAcentral lists this ribosomal RNA (944 nucleotides) under uncultured beta proteobacterium. RNAcentral's name for it is "bacterial SSU rRNA". It matches the Rfam family "Bacterial small subunit ribosomal RNA", at positions 61 to 1007 of the family's 1533-position model. The record is from RNAcentral. Lineage: Bacteria; Pseudomonadati; Pseudomonadota; Betaproteobacteria.
GUCGAACGGUAACAGGCCGCAAGGUGCUGACGAGUGGCGAACGGGUGAGUAAUGCAUCGGAACGUGCCCAGUCGUGGGGGAUAACGCAGCGAAAGCUGUGCUAAUACCGCAUACGAUCUAUGGAUGAAAGCGGGGGACCGUAAGGCCUCGCGCGAUUGGAGCGGCCGAUGUCAGAUUAGCUAGUUGGUGGGGUAAAGGCCCACCAAGGCGACGAUCUGUAGCUGGUCUGAGAGGACGACCAGCCACACUGGGACUGAGACACGGCCCAGACUCCUACGGGAGGCAGCAGUGGGGAAUUUUGGACAAUGGGCGCAAGCCUGAUCCAGCAAUGCCGCGUGCAGGAAGAAGGCCUUCGGGUUGUAAACUGCUUUUGUACGGAACGAAACGGUCCGGGUUAAUACCCUGGGCUAAUGACGGUACCGUAAGAAUAAGCACCGGCUAACUACGUGCCAGCAGCCGCGGUAAUACGUAGGGUGCAAGCGUUAAUCGGAAUUACUGGGCGUAAAGCGUGCGCAGGCGGUGAUGUAAGACAGGCGUGAAAUCCCCGGGCUCAACCUGGGAAUUGCGCUUGUGACUGCAUCGCUGGAGUGCGGCAGAGGGGGAUGGAAUUCCGCGUGUAGCAGUGAAAUGCGUAGAUAUGCGGAGGAACACCGAUGGCGAAGGCAAUCCCCUGGGCCUGCACUGACGCUCAUGCACGAAAGCGUGGGGAGCAAACAGGAUUAGAUACCCUGGUAGUCCACGCCCUAAACGAUGUCAACUGGUUGUUGGGUCUCUUCUGACUCAGUAACGAAGCUAACGCGUGAAGUUGACCGCCUGGGGAGUACGGCCGCAAGGUUGAACUCAAGGAAUUGACGGGGACCCGCACAGCGGUGGAUGAUGUGGUUUAAUUCGAUGCAACGCGAAAACCUUACCCACCUUUGACAUGUACGGAAUUUGCCAGAGAU